This 739-nucleotide ribosomal RNA is filed under the name Macrostomum lignano. RNAcentral describes it as "12S ribosomal RNA". Lineage: Eukaryota; Metazoa; Platyhelminthes; Macrostomidae. The record is from RNAcentral.
CAAACGAACCUAAAAUUUAGGGUAUUAUUUCGGCUAAUAUUUUUCGUAAGACGUUUGUUGGUUUUUAAUUAAGAAACAUUGAUUUUUUAUUAAUAAAGGAAUAUUAAAAAUUUAUUUUUAGAUUAAAAGUUAAAAUUUAUCAAUAAAUUCAGAAUAAUAAAGUUUUAAUUGUUUUAGAUUUUGUUUUUAAGAUGAAAAAAUAAUUUAAGUGCCAGCAUUUGCGGUUAUACUUAAUUUAAAAAUCAUGUUAAUUUUAAAAAUAUUAAAUACUUUUUUUUUGGUUUAAUAAAAAAAUUUAUUUUAUAAAAUAAUUUUUAAUAAAAAAGAAUUAGAUACUCUUGUAUAAAAUUAAAAAUUAGAAUUAAGUAGUUUAAAAAUAAACUGAAAUUAUUUGGCAGUUCGUUACAAUUAUUAAGGGAAACAUGGGCGUUAAAUGAUGAUCCCCACAUUAAUUUUCUUUUUUUUAUUGGUAGUGUAAGGUUGUAAACAUUUUUUUUAGAAAAACGUAAACAAAAUUUUUUAAUGCAAAUCUUUUUGCUCCUUUUAAAAGAUUUUCCUUUGUUAUAAUUUUUAAAUUUUGGAUAAAUUUAAGUUUUUAAAUUUUAAAAGAGGAUUUUAUAGUAUUAGUAAAUAAUUAGUUAUUUAGAAUUUAAUUUUAACGUGUGUACACAUCGCCCGUCAAUUUUUUUUUAUAAAAAAAUAAGUCGUAACAUAGUAGAAAAAAUAGAAAUUUUUUCUA